Molecule: long non-coding RNA, 5353 nt
Organism: Numida meleagris (helmeted guineafowl)
Lineage: Eukaryota; Metazoa; Chordata; Aves; Galliformes; Numididae
Exons: 2
Source: RefSeq, a predicted model, not a curated record
CCCAGGUCCCGCUGCCAUGUGAGACACCUGCUACAAGCAAUACAGAAAUGCCUACCACAAACCACUUGCUACCUAAAAAGGGCCAUGGGAAAUCUGGAUCAAUUCCUGCAGCAUGGAUGGGGCAGGGAGCCUGGUCUGAGGCAGUGAGGUACGUGGGGCAGCCCAGCACUGCCCUUAGUUCUGGUGCCCCACACGUGUGGCUCUGUGCCCACCGCCUCCACUCAGCGUGCCCAGCCUGCCGAGUAUCGCUGCUAAUAAUGUACCAGACCGGAUCCUCGGCUGAGCUAAAUAAAUGCGGCUCCCUCCACUGGUCUCCGUGGAGUGACUUUGAUUUACGACAGCUGAGAUCUGGGCUGGUUCAUUCCUUGCAAAAUUGAAGUUGGGCUGGGAGGACACUUGAAGGUCAGCCAGGCCAGCCUCCAAGCGCGGGCAGGACUGGUGCUGCUGUCCUCGUCCAGCAGCUGUGCCCAGCCGGCUCCCAGAUCGCCCAGCAGCCCCGACAACAUCGCUGCUCCCACAGGCAGGGACACUGGGACAGGCUGAGGGGACCUGGUGCAGGGCUCACUGCAUUGGCAGCUAGGCAUGUUUCCUGCCUGCAAGGUCGAGACUGAAGUGUGGUCCCAGAACAUCGAGUACAGAGGGACGCUGGAGCCUUGGUCUGAGCCGCAAGGGUGCAGGAGCUGAUGCUGCCUGGCCUCGCAAGGAGCUCCACACCACCACUGCCACCACAGGAGCCAGGAGUCACAGCCUGCAGAGCCCUUCCCCCGCCCAGACCCCAGCCUCGCGCCAGCUACCCCCACAGCCCCUUCUGUGCCCCUGUGGUGCUGCUGCUGCAGCAGGAGGCAUCUUGUGAGCCAUGAGUUAGGUACUGCUCUUUUGGUUUCUCUGGAGCCAUCUUGGUCCAAUGUCUUGGCAGAGGAACAGAAAGCUGAGUCUGUCUCCAGCAAGCAACCAUCCGUGACUAGAUACUGCCACCCUUGGCUGCUUGGUGCCACUCAGACACCACCCGUUUUAUGCACAAACUUUGCCCGGCCUCUGUGCCACCAUGCCCCUGCCCUCAGUGUCCCAAAAGAAGAGAAGCCUAGCCCAUCGCCCAGCUCUUCUCCCCCCAGAUGCCUCCAGGAUGAUCCUGACACCACACAGCAGAUGCGAUGUCCCACGCUCCUCUCUCAACUGCAGGCACCAAAGGUGACACAAAGCACAGAUCCCUGCACUCCCACCCCAAGCUAAGCCUAUCAGGAUAGCAUAGGCUGCAGUCAGAAGUAACACAGGUUUGGUUGGACAGCCAAGAGAAAGCCAAGCUGCUCUCCCUUCCAACAGUUCCCGGGACCCACUGGAGAAGCCUGGAAGGAUCCAGGACACUCCAGCGUUGCACAAGAGAUGACUGGGCAAGAGGAGAUCUUGUGGGGAGGUAAUGCAAGCAGGAAGCUCAGCGCUGGUGUGACCGACACGCCAAGUUCCCUGAGAGCCAUCAGCUCUUCAGCUGUGCCACUAGGUUGGAUGUGGCAUCUGGACUGGACCUGAUCGUGCUCCAGAUGAGCACACCCCAGAAAAGGGAAAAGCUGCAGCCUCCCAGCAGGCUGAAUCCUAAGUGCCUCAGCCCAAGACCUUACUGGGAGAGGGAAGAGUACAAGGAAGGCAGUGUGUCAGCCUGGGCAUGGUCUCAUGUAUGGCCAGGUUGGAAGAGGUGGGACUGAGCACCCUGGCCUACUCCCCUGCUCCCCAGCAGCACUGGUAAGGCUGUGGCUACAAAACAUGCAGCACAGGGUUAGACUUGACGCUGAGCUGUGGUGGCCCAGGUGGGCAGCAAGCAGUUUGGGUCACUCACCUCAGGUUGGAGGCCAAGGGAGUACCAAAGCUGUCCUCUGAGCAGCAAGGGCUGUGCCGAGCACCUUUCCUUUGCCUCCUUCUCUCCUCCUCCCUUUCAGUCCAGGGGGCAUCUGUGGCUGAACUGGUCCCAGAGUCCGGCUCCAAGUGAGCCAGAGGAGCAAAGUUCUCCUCGAUCAGCUUUGCACUAUCUCGGAUCUGUCCCUGUACUUCUGGGGUGAGGGUUGGGAGAUCAAAAGUGAAAAAGGUCCCAUGGGUGCGGGCUGGGGAGGAGAGGAUGUCAAUGGAGUCCAGGCUGGUGUAAGAUGUGCCUUUGGCUCGAUGGGACUCCAUGAUGCUCUCAAAAUGCUUGCUGAAAGAGUCCAUGCCAUCCUUGGAGAGGCUGUGCCCUAGCAGGAAGGGCACUGGAGACUUGAGCAUACCCUGUAUGUCUCGAUCCAUGAUCCUAGAGGGAAAGAAAGCGAGAGGAACUGGUCACUGAGGAGCAAGAGGUCAAAGCCCCAAACAAAAGCCCCUGCCUUGCUCCAGAAGGAAACUGGGGAGGGUAGAAGUCUCUUCUGAACAUCUGAGUACACCAGGCCUCCAAAGGAAAUGCCUUGCCUGCCCAAGACAUCAUGGGAAGAGGGCCAUGCUGGCCUCCCUCCAGCCAUAUGCCUCUCCUUUAAUGCGCCAUGGACUUUUGUUCCCUUAGUGGCUCAUCCUCCUAAGAAGCUUAUGAGAUGGCUACUGCUCCCAGCCACUCGGCUUGAGCUUAGAUCCAAUAAAGGGCUCAGGCACCAAAAACAGGAUGCAGUUCAGCUCCACUGCCAAACAAAUCCACAAGUGCCUGAAUUUUUCAUGAGCCUUCAGAGCUUCGAGCACCCGCGGCACUCCUGGAGCCACUGAGGACAGAGUGACACCUUCCUCUGCAUAUGUGACACAGCAGUCACGGAGCCAAGCCCACCUGCAAGGUUAGCAUAAGCAGCAGCUGCCCACACUCAUUUUGAAGGAGGAGGAAAAAGCAGGAUGGCCUGAUGGUGGUGAGAGCACCUCAAAGGGAUUGGGCUGCCUUCAGAUUGGCUCACCUCCUCCCUGCCAAAGCACCUGCACUAUGCUCUCUGUGCCCUGGCAAACCACCCGGGUGGUCAUGGAUCACCCCGCAGGAGGCUCAGCUUGUCUACAGCACGGCUCUGUGUCCAGCCCAACACAGGAGCUCCUACAUCUCGAACCCCUGAGCAUUUUGUCCCAGAGAUGAGCCUGCCCUUCAGUCUAAGCAUGUGACACAGGGAUAUUUCCAACACAGAGAAUGUCAGUGCUUCAGUCCUAUAAGCCCAAACGCAACCCUAAAAGUCUGUUUCACUCACAAGCUGCUAUCACUUUAUUAGAGCACCAAAAAAGCACUUGUUAUGCCACUCACUGUCCUGAUUAAAAGCGAAUAACUGAUCCAGCUUGUCAUAACAUUUGUUAUGAGCAAACAGCUCCAUACAGAAGGCUCAGAAAAUGCAGUGCUGUUACAAGCACGAAGUGGUUUAUCAUUUAUUAGCCUUCAUAUCCUGCUCCAGAAUCUCACGGAUUAUUGUACCAGGCCCCGAGCUGACAGCCUCACUGCACCAGAAUGCAGAGGGCUUCAGGGGGCGCCCAGCAAGGUGGGCACUGCAGGAUCACAGAGUCAUUGAUGCUGGAAAAGUCCACUAAUACUGCCUAGCCCAACUGCUGACCGAAGGCAGGUAAGGAAAGCAGGAUGGAGGCUGCUCCUGGCAGCCCAUGAGCACUGCCCAGCUAUGCAGUCCUGCUGUCUGCUCCUACCAGCACAGCCUGAGCGCCAGAAAGCACUGCACAGAGCUUGCUGGUGAGAAUAGGGAAAGGAGAUCUCUAUAGCACUUACAGUUGUGAACAUGCAUUCAUUGCCUUUGCCACUUUGCAGUGUGCUGUUGAAUGGAGCUAAUGUUGCUGAUUUCAUUUUGCAUCAUUUUGCACGCACACAGCAGCGAUGGGCAGUGCAAAAACAAAUACGUUUCCAGCUUUGAGCUGACGUGGGAGGCAUGGUGAUCCUUUCUUGGAGAUGGGCCAGGUGGGUAAGUAGGGGACACCCAUCCCAGGCACCGAUAACCGUGCUGCAUGGCAUGCUGACACCUCAGCCGGCACUGCUGGGCACCGCGUGGAGCUGAGCAACCAGAUCUCAGCAGCCACAUCAGCAGAGGGGAAGGGGCUCCUGUGUCCCCCAGCACAUCAGCGUCCUCAUACUGGUGGCUGGUGUCCCAUCUGAGAAGGCUGCCCCAGCGGCAGACCCGAGGGCUGUGCUGGGCAAUGCUCUGCUCCCAGGGAGGACAGGCGCUCCUGCCUCCGGCUGGCCCCCACACACUGGGCAGCGGGGCACGGUGCUGCAGAGCCGGCUCUGGCUCACUCAGCAGCACUGCCCCCGGCUUAGUGUCCCCCCUCCCCCCGGGACGCUCAAGAGGAGCCCGCUCUUGCUGACAGGUCUCGGCACUGUGGGACUAAUGGGAAUAAAGACAGCAAAGGCUUAGACUGGUCAUUAGCCGUAGAGCUGGCUCUAAAUAUAUUCAGGGAGUGGAUUCUGGAAGAAGACACUGUUUCUUAUGUCACUUUCCACGUCUUGUUUGAUUUUGUAUCAGAUUUUUUAUCCUGAUGUCCUGCUGCACGUUCUCUUAUUUUAGGAGAGCAAAUGACAACGAAGGUGCCUUUUGGCAAGAAUAUAAAGGGCAACAAAGUAAUGCCAAGCCAGUCCCCCCCGCGCAGAGGGUGCUAAACCCCUAAGGCUAGAUUUUCAAAGGGAUUUACAUGUCUAAAUGCUGCAAAUCAGCAUCCAGUGGUGCCUCAGUAGUUUUGCAGGGCUGCUCCUUCGCAUCUACCAACAAAGUGCUCUGCAGAGGACUGGCUGGGAUGGAAGCCACUGGUUUGCAACAGCUCCUGCAGAACAAAGCGGUGCUGGCUCUUGGAAGAUGGGGCAGCUUUUAAUGACCCCAGCAUCACCGCAUCGCCCCUCCUGUGAGCAGACAAAGCAGAAAGCUUGAAGCAGAAAACAUCAAUACUGGUGACUGGUAAAUGGGAGGGAGGGCUGCAGCUGCAGAGCUUGCUCUGAAGUGGUGUGUAAGCAAAGCCCAGGCUGUGAUGCAGGCGCUGAACCAGCUCACUAUUUCAGUCUGGUGAUUUUUGGCACUGCUGUCUGCAGGGUCUGUGCCUCACUGGGGAAUAGCCAGGGGUCUGUCUGCACAUCAAAAAAAUCUGAAAACCACCGGUCUACAAGGAAGCAGCAUAAAAUGAGCAGGACACCAUCGUAUGCGCCCUGGUAAUUAUGCCUGGAGCACUGUGUUGAGGGCAGCAAUGCGCUGGGGUACACACCUGAGCUUUCUGGCCGUGCCUGGGGAGCUCCAGCACGGUGUCCCAGAGGGCAAAAGGCAGGUACAGGCUAACAGCCCACAGACAUGUAAUGGCCCUUAGGUGUUUGGAAAUGAAUUAUCACCACGUAAAAGAAUUGUUACCGUAACUUGAAUAACUUGCUUGGAGUGAUAAUAUGACUUACAAAGCU